UUCAUACAGUCUUCCCUGGAAUUAAUUUCUACCUCAUUUCCACUUAAAGGCGUAUUAUUUCAGCAAACACAAAUCUUUAGCUACAAGAAGACCACAGCAUAAUUUAAGAGGGAGAAAGACAAAAUGGAAUGUACUAGAGAUUUAAAACCAUCAUUGGUUUUUUGAAACACCUGAAAGGCUUGCAUGUGGAAGAGGAUGAUGGAUACUAAGACCACUGCCAACAGGAGGGACUUGAAAGCAGGCAGAUCUCUGCUGCAUGUAAGUAGGGCUUUACAACAUGACAACUGUCCCCAGUGGACUGGCUGCCUAGAGAAGUGGUGCUCUUGCAGUUACUGGGUAUUUAAAAAAGAACGUGUUGUAGAAGGAAGUCUAGUUAUAAGACCCUUUCAGUACCUAAAAACUCUAUGAUUCUAUGGUUCUCAAUAUAGACUUAUGUUUACUCAUUCAACAAAUAUUUAAUGAGCACUUUUUAUGUCAAUGAGGGACUAUCACAGGAGAAAGAGAACCACUGCCUGUUAGGGGGUCACUGUCCAUCGGGGGGUUGGGGGCAAGACAUGAAGGCAAGCUUCUGGCAUGAAGGAAACAGUUGUGAAAGAGGCCCAGGCCAAAGGCAAGGGGAAUGCACAGGAGAAAGAUGGCCUGGGGCUGAGAGGAACAGAGAAGAGCUGGAGCUGAAAGACUGGAAAGGUGGAUGUUGUGAGGGCAGGAAAUGAGCACUCGGAACCUGUAUUAAGAUCUAGUGAAAAGCUCUUUUUAAAGUAUGUACUGCCACUUCUUUAUAGAGAAACUCCAAUACAAGAAGAGUAAAACUUAGUCAAGCAAAAGGGGUGAAUCAGUGGCAGAGCUGAGGGGAAAAAUUCAGCAACUUCUCAUUCCCAGGCUUCUCUUCAGGACAUGUUAGUUGACUGGGGCAAAGAACCCUUAUUUCUGAGUUUAUCUGACUCACUCAAUGUUACACAUUGACAGAGUCAUGUAGCUUUUCUAAGAUCUUCUGGGAACAAAGUAGGCCUCUCAAUUUGGUCACAGGAAGAUUUCCACUCAGUGCAACCAGGAGCUAAGCUCUGGUUUCCUCAUGGUCAGGAGGUGCCUGGGAAAGCACGGUUACUGAGCAGGUGACGUGAGCAGCUCCUCUCUUCCUUGUAUCGGAGGGCAGCACUUCGCUAACUGCUGGAAAAAAGAUGACUUUGGGACCUCUUUUCAUUGUGAACAACUCCUUUCACAUUAAUCACUUUCAAAACAGAGAUGAAAGAUUGGACUAAUUAAUGGACCCCAACAGAGUCUGUCAUGAGAAGGGGAAAAAGGACAGAAACUGUGGGAAAUGCAGACCAUCUCCUUAAUCCAGAUGCAAUGGCACAUCUCUUACAGCCAAAGCUUUUCAUCAGCAAUGA
Non-coding RNA from Manis javanica (Malayan pangolin), 1388 nucleotides. NCBI's taxonomy places the organism in Eukaryota, Metazoa, Chordata, Mammalia, Pholidota, Manidae. The record is from RefSeq and is a predicted model, not a curated record.